Molecule: ribosomal RNA, 465 nt
Filed under: uncultured bacterium
Lineage: Bacteria
Description: partial 16S ribosomal RNA
Rfam family: Bacterial small subunit ribosomal RNA
Source: RNAcentral
GACGAACGCUGGCGGCGUGCUUAACACAUGCAAGUCGAACGGAAAGGCCCCUUUGGGGGUACUCGAGUGGCGAACGGGUGAGUAACACGUGAGUAACCUGCCCUUGACUUCGGGAUAACUUCAGGAAACUGGGGCUAAUACCGGAUAGGAAUCCUUGCUGCAUGGUGGGGGUUGGAAAGCUUCGGCGGUUUUGGAUGGACUCGCGGCUUAUCAGCUUGUUGGUGGGGUCGUGGCUUACCAAGGCUUUGACGGGUAGCCGGCCUGAGAGGGCGACCGGCCACAUUGGGACUGAGAUACGGCCCAGACUCCUACGGGAGGCAGCAGUGGGGAAUAUUGCACCAUGGGCGGCAGCCUGAUGCAGCAACGCCGCGUGCGGGAUGACGGCCUUCGGGUUGUAAACCGCUUUCAGCAGGGGCGAAGCUUGUGGUGACGGUACCUGCAGAAGAAGCACCGGCUAACUACGUG